RNAcentral lists this ribosomal RNA (373 nucleotides) under uncultured organism. RNAcentral's name for it is "partial 16S ribosomal RNA". It matches the Rfam family "Bacterial small subunit ribosomal RNA", at positions 528 to 896 of the family's 1533-position model. The record is from RNAcentral.
GGGGGGGCGUGCGUUGUUCGGAAUUACUGGGCGUAAAGGGUGCGCAGGCGGCCUGGGAAGUCUUGGGUGAAAGCCCCCAGCUCAACUGGGGAAUGGCCUGAGAAACCACUGGGCUGGAGUGCUGGAGAGGGAAGCGGAAUUCCCGGUGGAGCGGUGAAAUGCGUAGAUAUCGGGAGGAACACCAGAGGCGAAGGCGGCUUCCUGGACAGACACUGACGCUGAGGCACGAAAGCUAGGGGAGCAAACGGGAUUAGAUACCCCGGUAGUCCUAGCUGUAAACGAUGGGUACUAGAUGUGGGAGGUAAUUAAAGUCCCUUCCGUGUCCGCGAUAACUCAAUAAGUACCCCGCCUGGGGAGUACGGCCGCAAGGCUG